CUUUUAUGGAGAGUUUGAUCCUGGCUCAGGACGAACGCUGGCGGCGUGCCUAAUACAUGCAAGUCGAGCGCGGGAAGCGAGUGGAUCCUCAUCUGAGGUGA
RNAcentral lists this ribosomal RNA (101 nucleotides) under Halobacillus aidingensis. RNAcentral describes it as "16S rRNA. Bacterial SSU". It matches the Rfam family "Bacterial small subunit ribosomal RNA", at positions 1 to 98 of the family's 1533-position model. Lineage: Bacteria; Bacillati; Bacillota; Bacilli; Caryophanales; Bacillaceae. The record is from RNAcentral.